RNAcentral lists this ribosomal RNA (241 nucleotides) under uncultured Lactobacillus sp. Its description in RNAcentral is "partial 16S ribosomal RNA". It matches the Rfam family "Bacterial small subunit ribosomal RNA", at positions 119 to 355 of the family's 1533-position model. The record is from RNAcentral. Lineage: Bacteria; Bacillati; Bacillota; Bacilli; Lactobacillales; Lactobacillaceae.
GGGUAACCUGCCCAAGAGAUCGGGAUAACACCUGGAAACAGAUGCUAAUACCGGAUAACAACAGAUGAUGCCUAUCAACUGUUUAAAAGAUGGUUCUGCUAUCACUCUUGGAUGGACCUGCGGUGCAUUAGCUAGUUGGUAGGGUAACGGCCUACCAAGGCGAUGAUGCAUAGCCGAGUUGAGAGACUGAUCGGCCACAUUGGGACUGAGCACGGCCCAAACUCCUACGGGAGGCAGCAGC